AACAGGUGCAUGCUGGGAGCGGCUAAUUGGUAGAAACCCGCGAUGGCGUCGGCGGCUGGUGGUGAUUAUUUCCGAGAGUCGGCCGUCAGCGAGAUGGAUGCGAUAUUCAACAUACUUGAGCAGUUCAGGCUGGAAUCUUCCUACAACCUGUUUGUCCAGUUGGGCGUAACGGAUGUAAGAGAUGAAGAUCUGAACAACAUUGGUUUAAGUCAUGUGGAGAAGAAUCGCUUUUCGUCGAUGAGAAUCUUCAUUCAAAGACUCGCAGCUCUAGAGCGCCAUGUUCAGCCUGUGCAAAAGUCGUUGGAGUUGUUCACUCUGCAGUACUCGUACCCCAAAUGUCCUCAACCAAUACACAUUAACGAUAUGGAUCCAGCGGUCAACACGGUUGAGGAUCUGAUGUUGAGGAUCGGCCAUCUUGAAAGUGUUGGUCAUUCCAAAGGAGUCUGUCUCUACACAGUCGAUGGGAUGCCUUUGACAGAUGAUCCCUUCUUCAAUACAUGGUCUCUGAAAGACAGACAUAUUCAACAUGGAUCUGUAAUUUAUGCCAUUUUUACGCCAAAGGAAAACCUGAAACAUGCUCCUCAAAUACCAAAACGAGAGGUUGGAGAAACUUGCGGAGACGGUGCGGUUCGAUGCCACGUCAUGCUCAAGGGAGACUAUGAGGUGACGGUGAACUUGGCAAGUGACACCAUAACCAGUCUGAGACUCAAGCUGGCAAAUGAAAGUGGAAUCCCAACGCAUGUCCUCCAUUACAAGUACCUCAGAAAGGUCAGCAUUAUGGUGGCGACGCACUGCAGAGCUGCGGGAUCUCCGAAGGGGCGACGGUCAACUUCUCUCUGUCCGCCUUUUCCGACGAGACUUGGAACAAUGAGACUUUCUUCAUUAAUGAUUGCGUCCCUUCAGUCCAACAAACCCAGAAAGGAAUCAGCGUCUUCUUGUCUUCGCUUUACGCUCUUAGAUGUUUUUCUCCAGAGCAACAGAGGAAACUGA
RNAcentral lists this long non-coding RNA (990 nucleotides) under Cyclopterus lumpus (lumpfish). Its description in RNAcentral is "lncRNA (ENSCLMG00005013197.1)". Lineage: Eukaryota; Metazoa; Chordata; Actinopteri; Perciformes; Cyclopteridae. The record is from RNAcentral.